RNAcentral lists this long non-coding RNA (234 nucleotides) under Lathyrus oleraceus (garden pea). Its description in RNAcentral is "Pisum sativum (pea) long non-coding RNA (PSAT_LNC014619)". The record is from RNAcentral. Lineage: Eukaryota; Viridiplantae; Streptophyta; Magnoliopsida; Fabales; Fabaceae.
UUCCAAUAUAUGAAAAUUUGAAACAAAGAUGCGAAUACGGAAAUUUCAAUUAUAAAACAGCACACCAAUCGUUAGUUGGUCUAGUGGUUAUUGGUGUUGCACUUAGUAGGAAUGACCACGAUUCGAUCCUCCGCAACUGCGAUCGGGAGAGGGACUAAAAACAAAAAAAAAUUAUAACUGCUCUAUCACUUGUCUUAAUAUAUAGAUUGCUUCCAUGAUCUACCUCCCAAACAU